Molecule: long non-coding RNA, 1372 nt
Organism: Oreochromis niloticus (Nile tilapia)
Lineage: Eukaryota; Metazoa; Chordata; Actinopteri; Cichliformes; Cichlidae
Exons: 5
Source: RefSeq, a predicted model, not a curated record
GUUGAUUUGAGAAAAGUUUUCAAAUUAAACUGACUUAGAAAUAAAACUUUCCAUUUACAACCUAAAAUAGCUUGUCUGCCCAACAAAUUUCUUCCAUUGUUGUCCUAACUAAGAUUUUCUAGCGAGCAUAACAAAGAUUAUCAACUUUUGAGUAGAUUUUUUGAGUCGAGUUGGGAACCGGUGGGAAACCCCGUAGGUGACUGGCACACGUCGUGGUCUGAAUAAGUUUGAACUAGACCAAACGAGUCUGAGCAGACUGUGUGAUAGUGGUUUGUCGAUGUGUUCUGAACUGAAAACCUGCUAAGAAACUGAACAAAUGUGGCCAAAGUUGGAUGAAAAUUACAAUUUUUCGACCAUUACGGAUUUUACCUGGUCUGAAGUUGGAGUGUAUUAUUUGACCAUUUUUUGGACAGGUGCGGGAGCUGCCGGCCAUUUGCCCUAGCAGGCGGAGAGAGGUCGUGGAGUGUCAGCCUAUGGUAUCUGAGGUCCAGGAGAGAUGACCUGCGCUGUUUUCCUCUGAGGAGAUAUCUGAAAAUUUCAUCGGAUCACAAGCAAAGACCUCCUGGGGACCUUCAAUGCAUCCUUUGACAAAGUUGUGCCUGGCCUGCUGAAACUGUACUGGUCUAAGAAGGGAGCUUUUGGUGAGGAGAUGGAAGACCUCCUGGAUAAACUUGAUGAACAGACAUCCAACACUGUGUCCAACGGGCACUGAGAGGCCUGCCCAUUUUCCUCAAGAGAAGAUGCAACAGAGGUUUUCCUGAAGUGCUUAGACACUGACAUUUUGGAACCAGUGUUGAACGGUGCAUCAGUUGCCAUCCUCACCAUCCUACAAGAUGACGAUGCUGAUACGUCUGUGUGAGAACAUGCAGUUGUGUUGGAAGGGGACAUUGUGCUACAUAACAUUCCAGAUCUCUCUACUGCCCUGGCACACCUCUUUGGCCUUCUGUAUGCCCUCAACAUUGAUUAUCCAAAGCAGAUGAGUUUUACCUUUGAAGCAAUUCAGGCCAUCUUAUUUUGGCCUGGUCGGACAAUAUGAAGGUGAAGUGGAUAAAUCAUUAUUCAAAAUGUAAAUUUUAGUCAGAUGAAUCUGUAUUGUUGACAAUAUAUGGUGAAAAUUUGUCUUGUAGUAUUUUAAAAGAUUUGUUAUAGUGUUAGUUUCCUCUUCAUUGAUGGUAACAUUUCUAAUAACUUUUAACUUCCAUAGUUCAUCAUAGUAAGCCUGUGUAAAAUGUCAAUGUCUGGGUGCAUAGGCAAUCGUUUGUAGCACUACCCUAUUUAAUGUGCAAUAGUUAUGUUCAGCUUUUACAAGACGGUCAGGGUGUGUGUGCAUGAAUUAUUAAGUUGCUGGACACUUUUCUUUUUUGGUUCUGGA